GGGGGCGAUUUAGGUUCGACAGAGGUAAAGCUGGCAGAGGAAGCGAGCCGCGGACCAUGGCCGCGUCAAGAACAUGGAAAGGCAAUAACUGCCAACAACGAUUACGCUCUGGCUGCGUAACUUAACGUAGCCCAUCCGCCCGGCCUAAGCUUGCGGGGUCGGAGACGGGUGUCAUUUUAGCAAGCUACCGGCAGACAGAGCCCUCAUGUCGGCCGGGAACUUCUGAGGGCUAGCCCAAAUUGGAUCUUGCUUCUUGGAGCCAAUGCGGGCGAAGAUAAAAGCAGAAGCUACGCUCGUAGAUGCCUUUGUGGGCUUACUUUUGGACGGGGGGUGCAAUUCCCCCCCGCCUCCACCA
RNAcentral lists this transfer-messenger RNA (355 nucleotides) under bacterium. Its description in RNAcentral is "DUNI01 sp012837285 Standard tmRNA". It matches the Rfam family "transfer-messenger RNA". Rfam says of the family: Bacterial tmRNA, also known as 10Sa RNA or SsrA, is named for its dual tRNA and mRNA-like properties. The record is from RNAcentral. RNAcentral also lists the same sequence under 1 other name.